RNAcentral lists this long non-coding RNA (859 nucleotides) under Oryctolagus cuniculus (rabbit). RNAcentral's name for it is "lncRNA (ENSOCUG00000031238.1)". The record is from RNAcentral. Lineage: Eukaryota; Metazoa; Chordata; Mammalia; Lagomorpha; Leporidae.
GCGUGGCUACAUUACGACUCUUGUGUCCCUUCCUCCACUGUCAGAGAAGUUUCAACUGGGGAGUGACGUGAUCAGACCUGUGCUGGUGACUGAAUAGCCAGGGAGAGGGUUCUGAGAACUCCUUCAUUAACUGGUUACGGCCUGGCCGCAGCACCUGCCAGAUCGCAUGGCUGCCUCUUCCCACAAGGUGGUAAAUGUAUGAAUGAGUCAAAUCCUACAGCUUCCAGAAUGACCUUGCGGGAAGUGUGGUGCAAGACAAGGAACAUUGUGCUCAUUCCAGGAGAGGGAAGCCCUUCACAUCAGACCUGGAGGAGGGAAGAGAAAGGCACUGAACUGACCAAGUCCCUUCUGUAUGCUGGACACGAGACACCUCUCUGCGGUGCCAAGAGGAAGGGUCCACCUUCCCAUGUCACAGGUCCCCAAGGUCACGGGGCUUCUUUGUCCUGUAGAUGAAGAACCAGAUAUUCCAUUCAUGUUAAAGUAUAACAGCUUUGAGAUAACAGAUUCAAGUGUGACUCCAAGUAGGCUGUGUAGUUGGAACAGCAAGCAAAUCGCUGAUCGUGAAAUUUCAGGCAUUGGAUGGAGAAGAUGUGCCUCCAACAGCCUGGAUAAGACUGGCAAUACCGCCCUCCUGGCUGGGAACUGGGCUUCCCCUGCCAGACCCUGUCGAGUGGACUGUCAUGGUGGGUGCCCUUGCUUUCCUUUCCUGCUACGCUGCAGGUUCUGUGAGGCAGAGACGCGGUUUGUGUUGCUGGCCAUGAAUUUUAUGUUUCUGGCACAUUACGGGUGCUCCAGAAAUAUGUGCUGCCCGAAUAAAUCCCAUUUCAGAGCUGAGGGACCACUAAUCCCGAGACGUUAA